Molecule: long non-coding RNA, 638 nt
Filed under: Salmo salar (Atlantic salmon)
Lineage: Eukaryota; Metazoa; Chordata; Actinopteri; Salmoniformes; Salmonidae
Description: lncRNA (ENSSSAG00000085971.1)
Source: RNAcentral
UUGUUGCGACCGCGUUGAGUUCCAGGUUGUUGCGACUGCGUUGAGUUCCAGGUUGUUUUGACUGCGUUGAGUUCCAGGUUGUUGUGACCGCGUUGAGUUCCAGGUUGUUGCGACUGAGUUGAGUUCCAGGUUGUUGUGACUGCACCAGGCCACCUGGCGGUCAACCUCUCCUCUGUACUUGGACUCAUCACCUUGGGGGAUUAGUCUGCAAGUUGUUUUCCCAGUGAAGUGACCUGUCUGUCAGGAAGUCAGUGAUCCACCAACAGAUGGAGUAGGGUACGUUCAGCUGGAUGAGUUUGUCCUGCAACAGUUCUGGGAUGAUGUUGGUGAAUGCUUAGCUAAAGUCCACAAACAGUAUCUUGACAAGUCCCAUCACAACACAUGAAUAUUGCACUUGACUAACACACACAUACAGAAAAUGCACAAAGCCAGAGUUUGAAAAUGAUAAUUUAAUCACAGAGCAGAUCUAUAUUCAAGGUUGCUGGAUUGAAUCCCCGAGCUGACAAGGUAAAAAUCUGUCGUUCUGCCCCUGAACAAGGCAGUCAACCCACUGUUCCCCGGUAGGCCGUCAUUGUAAAUAAGAAUUUGUUAACUGACUUGCCUAGUUAAAUAAAGGUUAAAUAAAAAAAUAAGAUAUA